Sapajus apella (tufted capuchin) is the source of this 1330-nucleotide RNA transcript. It is a transcript of the gene named ubiquitin-associated domain-containing protein 1 pseudogene, with no coding region annotated. NCBI's taxonomy places the organism in Eukaryota, Metazoa, Chordata, Mammalia, Primates, Cebidae. The record is from RefSeq and is a predicted model, not a curated record. The transcript is spliced from 2 exons.
AUGCAUCCAGAACAAAUAUGGGGAGCAGCAAUGAAUGCAGAUGAUAAAGAUGCCAUCCUCCAGGUCACUGCCAACCUGCCCUCCCACAACAUGGACUGGGCUGUGGUCCAGACCAACAUGAGAGACUUCCAGACAGAACUCUGGAAGAUACUGGUGUCUUUCAUCGAGGUGGCGCAGAAGCUGUUAGCACUGGACCCUGAUGCGGUGGAAUUGUUUAAGAAGGCGAAUGCUAUGCUGGACGAGAAGGAGGAUGAGCGUGUGGAUGAGGCUGCCCUGUGGCAGCUCACGGAGAUGGGCUUUCCCGAGACCAGGGCCAUCAGGGCCCUUCAGCUGAACCACCUGUCGGUGCCUCAGGCCAUGGAGUGGCUAACAGAACUCGGAGAAGAUCCAACCACAGACACGCCUCUUCCAGGCCAAGCUCCCCCAGGGGCUCAGGGGGCUUCAGCAGCCGCAGCAGCCAUCUCCGAGGCUGCCGCAGGAGCCAGCACCACUGCCGAGGAGGCCAGAGAUGAGCUAACGGAAAUCUUCAAGAGGAUCUGGAGGAAAAGGGAGUUUCCGCCGAUGCUUGGGCCAUCGUUUCCCUGAUGGAGAUGGGGUUCGACAAGGAGGUGAUAUACUCCCUCAGAGUGAACAACAACCAGCAGAACGCUGCGAGUCAGUGGCUGCUGGGGGACCGGAAGCCCUCCCCAGAGGAGCUGGACAAGGGCAUCGACCCCGACAGUCCUCUCAGGCCAUCCUGGAUAACCCAGUGGUAUAGCUGGGCCUGACCCAACCCGAAAACAUUCCUAGCAUUUGAAGACAUGCUGGAGAACCCAUUGAACAGCACCCAGUGGGUGAAUGAUCCAGAAACGGGUCCGUCAUGCUGCAGAUCUCUAGAAUCUCCCAGACGCUAAAUCUCAUGUAGGUGGCGCUGCUCCACUCGGCUGUCUGGCCACAGCAGCGCCCGGCGCAGCCCAAGACCGGACAGAGCGGACCUCGGCAGGAAACUCACUUCAGCUCCUCAGCCCUGGACUGUUGGAGGCGCUGUGGCUGCUCCUGCUCUCUGAUCUGAUUGCUUAUAAACGUCGGUGACUGUAGUGCGUAAGGCCGUAUUUUUAGCAUCUGACAGGUGUUUACAAAAAAGUGGUUGUGGCCCCAGGAAGUGGAGUAAUGGCUUCCUCCCGUGCUCCUCUGGGCUCUUGAGUUGCUACUUGAACUGCCCUCUAGACAUUUGCUUGGAGAGUCCACGUGUUAUUUAACGGAGACAGGUUUCAACUCAGAGUGUUAAUGUUAAGCAUGCUAAUUUAGUCACUCACGAAUGACUUUUCUUUAAUAAAUAAAGUCCCUUUUC